Molecule: long non-coding RNA, 200 nt
Filed under: Amborella trichopoda
Lineage: Eukaryota; Viridiplantae; Streptophyta; Magnoliopsida; Amborellales; Amborellaceae
Description: long non-coding RNA (ATRI_LNC000872)
Source: RNAcentral
GAUUUUUGAAUUCACGCCGAUAUUACAGAAAUGUGCCAAGAUCUUAGCAUUAAAUCUUGGGCAGGUCGACGGUAGAGAGAGAAAGUGAGAGAGAAAAAGAGAGGGAGGUUGAGAGAGCGAUCAAAAAUUGGGUUUUUCGUGUUUUAAGGGAAUUAGAAAGCGCUCCCGGGAUAUAAUCUUUGGACAGUAUGGGAAGUGCC